CCUACGGGUGGCAGCAGUGAGGAAUAUUGGUCAAUGGGCGCGAGCCUGAACCAGCCAAGUAGCGUGAAGGAUGACUGCCCUACGGGUUGUAAACUUCUUUUAUCAAGGAAUAAAGUGAGGCACGUGUGCCUUUUUGUAUGUACUUUAUGAAUAAGGAUCGGCUAACUCCGUGCCAGCAGCCGCGGUAAUACGGAGGAUCCGAGCGUUAUCCGGAUUUAUUGGGUUUAAAGGGAGCGUAGAUGGGUUGUUAUGUCAGUUGUGAAAGUUUGCGGCUCAACCGUAAAAUUGCAAUUGAUACUGGCAGACUUGAGUACAGUUGAGGUAGGCGGAAUUCGUGGGGUAGCGGUGAAAUGCUUAGAUAUCACGAAGAACCCCGAUUGCGAAGGCAGCUUACUAAACUGUGACUGACAUUGAUGCUCGAAAGUGUGGGUAUCAAACAGGAUUAGAUACCCCUGUAGUC
Molecule: ribosomal RNA, 460 nt
Filed under: uncultured bacterium
Lineage: Bacteria
Description: partial 16S ribosomal RNA
Rfam family: Bacterial small subunit ribosomal RNA
Source: RNAcentral